AGAGUUUGAUCCUGGCUCAGAACGAACGCUGGCGGCAUGCCUAACACAUGCAAGUCGAACGAGACCUUCGGGUCUAGUGGCGCACGGGUGCGUAACGCGUGGGAAUCUGCCCUUUGCUUCGGAAUAACAGUUAGAAAUGACUGCUAAUACCGGAUGAUGUCUUCGGACCAAAGAUUUAUCGGCAAAGGAUGAGCCCGCGUAGGAUUAGGUAGUUGGUGGGGUAAAGGCCUACCAAGCCGACGAUCCUUAGCUGGUCUGAGAGGAUGAUCAGCCACACUGGGACUGAGACACGGCCCAGACUCCUACGGGAGGCAGCAGUGGGG
This 323-nucleotide ribosomal RNA is filed under the name uncultured bacterium. Its description in RNAcentral is "bacterial SSU rRNA". It matches the Rfam family "Bacterial small subunit ribosomal RNA", at positions 8 to 359 of the family's 1533-position model. The record is from RNAcentral.